AUGCUCACCAGCUGCUCGUCGGCGGCUCCUGAUGCGGCACGCCGGAUGGGGGCGCGGCGGUGCAGGGUAAUUGUUGUUGCGAUGCAGCGCUCAUCACUGGCUGCCAGGGUUGCAAUGGAGCUUCGCCGGAGUUGCUGUGGAGCUUCGUCGGAGCCGGGUGUACCGUUGGAGCUCCGGCGAGGCUGCAAUGGAGCUCGGCCGGAGUUGCAAUGGAGCUUCGCGUGGAGCUAUCGGUGUUGCAUUGGAGCUACGCCGGAGUUGCAAUGGAGCUUGCUGGAGUUACGCCGGAGUUGCAAUGAAGCUUUGCAGGAGCUGUCAGUGCUGCGUUGA
RNAcentral lists this ribosomal RNA (330 nucleotides) under Triticum aestivum (bread wheat). RNAcentral describes it as "partial small subunit ribosomal RNA". The record is from RNAcentral. Lineage: Eukaryota; Viridiplantae; Streptophyta; Magnoliopsida; Poales; Poaceae.